GAUGAAGAACGUAGCGAAAUGCGAUAAGUAAUGUGAAUUGCAGAAUUCAGUGAAUCAUCGAAUGUUUGAACGCACAUUGCGCCCCUUGGUAUUCCGAGGGGCAUGCCUGUUCGAGCGUCAUUAUAACCCCUCAAGCUCAGCUUGGUGUUGGGGCCUGCCGCACGGGCAGCCCUUAAAAUCAGUGGCGGUGCCAUCUGGCUCUAAGCGUAGUAAUUCUUCUCGCUAUAGAGUCCCGGUGGAUGCUUGCCAUUAACCCCCAAUUUUCUAUGGUUGACCUCGGAUCAGGUAGGGAUACCCGCUGAACUUAAGCAUAUCAAUAAGCGGAGGA
RNAcentral lists this unclassified non-coding RNA (328 nucleotides) under soil metagenome. Its description in RNAcentral is "partial contains 5.8S ribosomal RNA, internal transcribed spacer 2, and large subunit ribosomal RNA". The stretch from base 1 to 120 matches the Rfam family "5.8S ribosomal RNA", at positions 35 to 154 of the family's 154-position model. The record is from RNAcentral.